AUACAGAGGGUGCGAGCGUUAAUCGGAAUUACUGGGCGUAAAGCGCACGUAGGCGGAUACUUAAGUCAGAUGUGAAAUCCCCGGGCUCAACCUGGGAACUGCAUCUGAUACUGGGUAGCUAGAGUUUUGGAGAGGGAAGUAGAAUUUCAGGUGUAGCGGUGAAAUGCAUAGAGAUCUGAAGGAAUACCAGUGGCGAAGGCGACUUCCUGGCCAAAAACUGACGCUGAGGUGCGAAAGCGUGGGUAGCAAACGGGAUUAGAAACCCUAGUAGUCC
This 274-nucleotide ribosomal RNA is filed under the name uncultured bacterium. RNAcentral's name for it is "partial 16S ribosomal RNA". It matches the Rfam family "Bacterial small subunit ribosomal RNA", at positions 523 to 796 of the family's 1533-position model. The record is from RNAcentral.